This 866-nucleotide ribosomal RNA is filed under the name Shigella flexneri. RNAcentral describes it as "bacterial SSU rRNA". It matches the Rfam family "Bacterial small subunit ribosomal RNA", at positions 679 to 1533 of the family's 1533-position model. Lineage: Bacteria; Pseudomonadati; Pseudomonadota; Gammaproteobacteria; Enterobacterales; Enterobacteriaceae. The record is from RNAcentral.
CGGUGAAAUGCGUAGAGAUCUGGAGGAAUACCGGUGGCGAAGGCGGCCCCCUGGACGAAGACUGACGCUCAGGUGCGAAAGCGUGGGGAGCAAACAGGAUUAGAUACCCUGGUAGUCCACGCCGUAAACGAUGUCGACUUGGAGGUUGUGCCCUUGAGGCGUGGCUUCCGGAGCUAACGCGUUAAGUCGACCGCCUGGGGAGUACGGCCGCAAGGUUAAAACUCAAAUGAAUUGACGGGGGCCCGCACAAGCGGUGGAGCAUGUGGUUUAAUUCGAUGCAACGCGAAGAACCUUACCUGGUCUUGACAUCCACGGAAGUUUUCAGAGAUGAGAAUGUGCCUUCGGGAACCGUGAGACAGGUGCUGCAUGGCUGUCGUCAGCUCGUGUUGUGAAAUGUUGGGUUAAGUCCCGCAACGAGCGCAACCCUUAUCCUUUGUUGCCAGCGGUCCGGCCGGGAACUCAAAGGAGACUGCCAGUGAUAAACUGGAGGAAGGUGGGGAUGACGUCAAGUCAUCAUGGCCCUUACGACCAGGGCUACACACGUGCUACAAUGGCGCAUACAAAGAGAAGCGACCUCGCGAGAGCAAGCGGACCUCAUAAAGUGCGUCGUAGUCCGGAUUGGAGUCUGCAACUCGACUCCAUGAAGUCGGAAUCGCUAGUAAUCGUGGAUCAGAAUGCCACGGUGAAUACGUUCCCGGGCCUUGUACACACCGCCCGUCACACCAUGGGAGUGGGUUGCAAAAGAAGUAGGUAGCUUAACCUUCGGGAGGGCGCUUACCACUUUGUGAUUCAUGACUGGGGUGAAGUCGUAACAAGGUAACCGUAGGGGAACCUGCGGUUGGAUCACCUCCUUACCUUAAAGAAGC